Equus asinus (donkey) is the source of this 2056-nucleotide long non-coding RNA. Lineage: Eukaryota; Metazoa; Chordata; Mammalia; Perissodactyla; Equidae. The record is from Ensembl.
CUUGCUCACUUAUAAAAAGCUUAUUUCUCUUGGAAUUAAGCUCAUCAAGGCUUGAUUGGAUCCAUCCAUCUUCCCGUGACCUGUAGAAAAGUAUAAUUUUUAUUUUAUCUGGGGUUUUUUGUUGUUAAUAAAGGAGUGACAGUCUUUAGCAUCCUUCUACAUCCUGACCAGAAGCAGAAGUCUCAAAGGAAGAGGAUUGUUAUGUAAACACAAUGCUCUGGACUGGCGCAUCACUGUGUGACCCCGGUGUCUGAGAGGAUACUGGAACUGGCCAUGGAUCUGGUCCAAAGUGACAUCACUCAUGGAAUUCAAUCGAGUCAGCAAAAUUAAGGUUCUGAUUUGUGCUGGAGCGAGUGUGAAUGACUGACACAAGCUGUCAGUUAAAAUUUGACUGUGGCAUGAUUCGUUGCAGAACAUGAGAUUAUUAGAGAUAUUCUGAAUAAAGAAAAGUCUUCCAAGAAGCACUGGAAUCCCCUGAGGUUAAAUUAACCCGACAAACCCUGAGUCAGAACCAUAUAUGGAAGUGCUGCCAAGUGUGUUCUUACGGGAUUCUAUCUCACGUGUGAAGGCAUCUUCAUUCAAGCACAGGGGUAGACAUGGAAUAGCAGAGUGGCUCUGUCAGAUGGAUAGAUGGUCAAGAGACGCUGUGGCCCCUAAAGCUUACCCCUCUCUCUCUCUUCCACAGUUAACCUUGCAGACGUAAUCUUAGGGCUACAUUUUUCACAGAUGUAUGAAUUGACAAAGCCAAGAUAAAUAACACUCUAAACGUAAAUGAAAAAACUCGCCUACUGCUGCUCUGUGCCUAAUGCAAAAGUCCUACACUUCAUCACUUUUGUUUCCCUUGGAAUCUGCCGCAAUAGAUCAGAAAAGAAAAUGUUAAUAUAUGGCUCUGAAGCCCACUGCCAGUGUUUCUUCUUCGUUGAUGUGUUGCCUUGAUUUGAGACCUUUGAAGAUAAGGACAAUGUGAGAAGAGCUAUUGCAAAUCCAGCUCAGAUUCUGUUAUGUUACUCAAGAGCAUCCUGAGAAUGCCAAACCUAUGUGUGGUAAUGCUGGCCUUGCACAGGCUUACUGUGUCUCCCUGGGGAAGCUUCUUGACAACUUUGAGACUUGAAAAUACUUGGGCUGCAAAGGGGAAUGGUGAGACAAGUAGACCUGGACUUGUGGAGACACUCUCUUAAUGAAGCCUUUGACCUUCACUCACCCAUAAAGCCCCAGGGUCCUUUGUCUGUCCUGUGCUGGCAGAGGCCCCAAGACAAAGCAGUGUGCCUCACCAGGAGGCUGGAGUAGCAGAGAGGCAAGCCCAGAGGAGAGGACUGAAGGGAGCUGCAAAGACAGAAAAUUAGUCCUUAUGAAGCAAUUCUCCACCCUGCCUCUUCUAUGUUGUAUCCCAACCCAAGCCAUGAGGCAAUUGUGCAGAAAUGGGAGGGUUUGUUGUUGGCUGGAGGUCACCAAAAAUAGAAGAUGUAAGAAACCUAAUAUGCAAGGAGUGAUGAUAAAGUCCAAAACGUUUAAAAACAGGGCCAUUAUCAUAGUGAGUGUGAAGGCAGAACACACCCACCUAGCCCUUUGGUCCCUUUGUCUAGAACAGCUGCAGCAGGAGCAAUAAAAACAAGCAGCUCUGACUUUGGGAGAGUUUCCACCCAAUCCAUUGUUUCACCUAAAGAUCCUCAACCUUCCCAACCCAGAGCUGCACCAUGACAUACUCAUCCUUCCUCCCAGCCUUAAGGAGGAGAGCUGCAGCCCAGGACAUGGCCCGACAGCUUCGCCUGGGGAAGACUUGCUCAAAGCCCUCUGAAAUCUGGGCUGCUUUCUUUCCCUAAGCAGUUUGCCUGCCAGGCUCCUAUGGUCCCAACACCACAGCAUCUGCUGACCCUAUGCUCACCUCAGGCAGCAUGUUGCCUCUACUCUGGACCAAUUGGCCCUGAGCAGAACUCCAAAGUUUGAUUUCAGUCCUCGUCCAGCUACUUCCCCUUUUUAGGGCCUCAGUUUCCUCAGUGAAGAGGUUGGCAUAUGUUGGUUGUGAAGUUCUUUGCACAUCAUGUGUCUCAUGACAUUU